GACGAACGCUGGCGGCGUGCCUAAUACAUGCAAGUAGAACGCUGAAGGAGGAGCUUGCUUCUCCGGAUGAGUUGCGAACGGGUGAGUAACGCGUAGGUAACCCGCCUGGUAGCGGGGGAUAACUAUUGGAAACGAUAGCUAAUACCGCAUAAGAGUAGAUGUCGCAUGACAUUUGCUUAAAAGGUGCAACUGCACCACUACCAGAUGGUCCUGCGUUGUAUUAGCUAGUUGGUGAGGUAACGGCUCACCAAGGCAACGAUACAUAGCCGAACUGAGAGGGUGAUCGGCCACACUGGUACUGAGACACGGCCCAGACUCCUACGGGAGGCAGCAGUAGGGAAUCUUCGGCAAUGGGCGGAAGCCUGACCGAGCAACGCCGCGUGAGUGAAGAAGGUUUUCGGAUCGUAAAGCUCUGUUGUUAGAGAAGAACAUGUGUGUGAGUGGAAAGUUCACACUGUGACGGUAUCAUACCGUAAAGGGACGGCGAAUUACGU
RNAcentral lists this ribosomal RNA (494 nucleotides) under uncultured bacterium. RNAcentral's name for it is "partial 16S ribosomal RNA". It matches the Rfam family "Bacterial small subunit ribosomal RNA", at positions 28 to 506 of the family's 1533-position model. The record is from RNAcentral.